RNAcentral lists this transfer RNA (76 nucleotides) under Rasbora trilineata (scissor-tailed rasbora). RNAcentral's name for it is "tRNA-Thr". It matches the Rfam family "tRNA". Rfam says of the family: Transfer RNA (tRNA) molecules are approximately 80 nucleotides in length. Their secondary structure includes four short double-helical elements and three loops (D, anti-codon, and T loops). The record is from RNAcentral. Lineage: Eukaryota; Metazoa; Chordata; Actinopteri; Cypriniformes; Danionidae.
GCCUCAGUAGCUUAGCUUAAAGCAUCGGUCUUGUAAUCCGAAGAUCGGAGGUUAAACUCCCCCCUGAGGCCACAAC